GAUGAACGCUGGCGGCGUGCCUAAUACAUGCAAGUCGAGCGAACAGACGAGGAGCUUGCUCCUCUGACGUUAGCGGCGGACGGGUGAGUAACACGUGUAUAACCUACCUAUAAGACUGGGAUAACUUCGGGAAACCGGAGCUAAUACCGGAUAAUAUAUUGAACCGCAUGGUUCAAUAGUGAAAGACGGUUUUGCUGUCACUUAUAGAUGGAUCCGCGCCGCAUUAGCUAGUUGGUAAGGUAACGGCUUACCAAGGCGACGAUGCGUAGCCGACCUGAGAGGGUGGUCGGCCACCCUGGAACUGAGACAGGGUCCAGACUCCUACGGGAGGCAGCAGUAGGGAAUCUUCCGCAAUGGGCGAAAGCCUGACGGAGCAACGCCGCGUGAGUGAUGAAGGUCUUCGGAUCGUAAAACUCUGUUAUUAGGGAAGAACAAAUGUGUAAGUAACUAUGCACGUCUUGACGGUACCUAAUCAGAAAGCCACGGCUAACUACGUG
RNAcentral lists this ribosomal RNA (497 nucleotides) under uncultured bacterium. RNAcentral describes it as "partial 16S ribosomal RNA". It matches the Rfam family "Bacterial small subunit ribosomal RNA", at positions 28 to 507 of the family's 1533-position model. The record is from RNAcentral.